RNAcentral lists this long non-coding RNA (406 nucleotides) under Setaria italica (foxtail millet). RNAcentral's name for it is "long non-coding RNA (SITA_LNC007432)". The record is from RNAcentral. Lineage: Eukaryota; Viridiplantae; Streptophyta; Magnoliopsida; Poales; Poaceae.
ACUAAUGCUCUUGGUGUUUUUCCAUUUUUUUUCUCAUUUUUCCUAAUUACAGGGGAGGUAUGCAACAGCGAUCAUCCUGCUGUCAUAUCUGGCCGUUGAAUCCAUAGACCCAUAAAGACCGGACAAAAGCCCAGUCAUUUUUCCGAGCAGUUGAUUAAUUGUUCAUACACAAAUUAAUUGUCCAUACAUAGAAAAUAAAUUUAAUAAUUCACUACUUCAUUACAUUCUACCCUCCAAGCAAGAGCAAGAUUGGUGGCCAGCUCAUCGUGAAAAAUAUCCAUUGUAGUGACACUGCCUUCUGAAGUAGAUCCAUCCGAUGGAACCACAAAUCGAUUGUACCGUUGCGGUAUUGUAGGGACAAAAUUAGGAUCACGAUCAAACCGAGUAAAGUCUGAAUCCUCACUAU